GGGGACGCACUGGUUUUGACAGGAUGAUUUGAUGGAAGCAGAUGGCGGGUCUCGGCGCUGUUCCGAGUUAUCAACGAGCAAAAAAAUAAGUGCUACAAACAACGUAGUUAAAGCUGAUUUUUCAAGAGCAGCAGCUCUUGCUGCGUAGAGCAUAGCUCCGCAGUCCAGCCCUUGUUAUGUUUUUAACUUGCGAAAAUGUAUCAAGGAAGGAUUAGCAAGUCUGACAUUCUGAUGAGAAUAGGUAUGUUAAGUAAUAUUCUCAAGGUGAGCAUCACUUAAAAAGGCUUUGUGCAUUUCAAAUCGGUUUGAUUUUGCCGAGGGAUGUACGAGAAAAAGAAAAUCUACACUCGUAGAAGUUUGUUUUUAUCCAUUUUGGACGUGGGUUCGAUUCCCACCGUCUCCA
RNAcentral lists this transfer-messenger RNA (403 nucleotides) under human gut metagenome. It matches the Rfam family "transfer-messenger RNA". From Rfam's summary of the family: Bacterial tmRNA, also known as 10Sa RNA or SsrA, is named for its dual tRNA and mRNA-like properties. Its role is to liberate the mRNA from a stalled ribosome. The record is from RNAcentral.